This 468-nucleotide ribosomal RNA is filed under the name uncultured bacterium. RNAcentral describes it as "partial 16S ribosomal RNA". It matches the Rfam family "Bacterial small subunit ribosomal RNA", at positions 28 to 507 of the family's 1533-position model. The record is from RNAcentral.
GACGAACGCUGGCGGCGUGCUUAACACAUGCAAGUCGAACGGAAAGGCCCUGCUUUUGUGGGGUGCUCGAGUGGCGAACGGGUGAGUAACACGUGAGUAACCUGCCCUUGACUUUGGGAUAACUUCAGGCAACUGGGGCUAAUACCGGAUAGGAGCUCCUGCUGCAUGGUGGGGGUUGGAAAGUUUCGGCGGUUGGGGAUGGACUCGGGGGUUAUCAGCUUGUUGGUGGGGUAGUGGCUUACCAAGGCUUUGGCGGGUAGCCGGCCUGAGAGCGUGGCCGGCCACAUUGGGACUGCGAUACGGCGCAGACUCCUACGGGAGGCAGCAGGGGGGAAUAUGGCACAAUGGGGGGAAGCCUGAGGCAGCAACGCCGCGUGCGGGAUGACGGCCUUCGGGGUGUAAACCGCUUUCGCCUGUGACGAAGCGUGAGUGACGGUAAUGGGUAAAGAAGCACCGGCUAACUACGUG